Small nucleolar RNA from Ornithorhynchus anatinus (platypus), 138 nucleotides. The record is from RefSeq and is a predicted model, not a curated record. Lineage: Eukaryota; Metazoa; Chordata; Mammalia; Monotremata; Ornithorhynchidae.
CAUCUCUCAGGGUCACACCUGGAGAGUUUCCAAUACUCUUCUGGUCUCGACUAUGGGAGGGAGAGUCAAGCAGAUACCUACCCCUUCCAUUCCUAGCUUGGGCAGUAGCUAGCGAGUGGAAGGCAAACUGCUACAAGU